GACGAACGCUGGCGGCGUGCCUAAUACAUGCAAGUCGAGCGGACUUUCAAGAAGCUUGCUUUUUGAAAGUUAGCGGCGGACGGGUGAGUAACACGUGGGCAACCUGCCUGCAAGACGGGGAUAACUCCGGGAAACCGGGGCUAAUACCGGAUAAUAUCUUCCUUCGCAUGAAGGAAGGUUGAAAGGCGGCGCAAGCUGCCGCUUGCAGAUGGGCCCGCGGCGCAUUAGCUAGUUGGUGAGGUAACGGCUCACCAAGGCGACGAUGCGUAGCCGACCUGAGAGGGUGAUCGGCCCCACUGGGACUGAGACACGGCCCAGACUCCUACGGGAGGCAGCAGUAGGGAAUCUUCCGCAAUGGACGAAAGUCUGACGGAGCAACGCCGCGUGAGCGAAGAAGGUCUUCGGAUCGUAAAGCUCUGUUGUCAGGGAAGAACAAGUACCGUUCGAACAGGGCGGUACCUUGACGGUACCUGACCAGAAGGCCACGGCUAACUACGU
RNAcentral lists this ribosomal RNA (498 nucleotides) under uncultured bacterium. Its description in RNAcentral is "partial 16S ribosomal RNA". It matches the Rfam family "Bacterial small subunit ribosomal RNA", at positions 28 to 506 of the family's 1533-position model. The record is from RNAcentral.